GUGACUUCAUUCAGUAUAUGUUACUGCCGCUGUUAGUUUGCGUUAUUGUUUCCGUCUUCCUAAGCUAGAAUGCAACAAUACAGUACAUUUUCUUCUGGAUGCUCCAGAUUCUCCAUCAUAGUGCACAUCUCAGUGGUCAUCAUCCAUCUAAAUAACUGCCUUCUGUUCUGUCUUCGUAGAGAAAUACCGGGAUGGAGUCUGAGCGAUGAAUUCUAGGUGGUGUUUCCUUAGCUACCUGCUGAAUUGCUCAAGAAUCAUAACUUUUUCGUACUGGGAUGCAGUUACAGUUAAGGUGACCUAUUUUCAUUUUUAGCUAGACUAAAUUUGAGUCUUAUUUCUGUCGUCUGAUAUGGUCUAUUUUUGGCAGUGUUACUGUUCUGAAAAUAAAAAUAGUUUCAAACCUUUGAGCCUGCCUACAUUUGAUCCAUAGUUCGUGAAGGCAAGGUAAGGUAACAGUUAUAAAUUCUAAUAUAUGCUUGCAUGCUAAGAUGUGUUCGAUACCAUAUACCUAAUCUCUCAAGGUUGUUUCAUUUAUUGAAAAUUGUUAAGGAUCUGACUACCAUCCAUUUUUGUUUUUAAGAAAGAGAAAAGUUUAGAACUUCAGAUACAUGCCACCUCAAAUACUGCAAUUUGGAGAUAUGAUGUUACAAAAUCUGGGUAUAGAAGGGUCCCAUUGUGAGGUUAACAUGUCUGCACAUAUGCACCACAUCGACCUAUUUGCACCCUUCUUUCCAACCCCUCUUCCUGAAAUCUCCACCCCAUCCCAUGGUUGCCUCACUUCCUCCCUCUAGCAUGUGGGGGUCACAGAGGCACCACAUUGAGCAGACACAGAAAGGCUCAUGCUGCCCAGGUUGAUAAUGCUAAAGCACCUGACAUCUACGUCUGAAAUUGUCUUUAUUUAUUUCAUAUAGUACGAACUGCAGUAACCAAGCACUAAAAGUUUUGUGUCUCGUUUGAACAUUUAGGAUGAACAUUUAGGACAGCAGCAAACAGUGGUAUUUAUAAUGGUUAAUAACUCUGCCAAAAUAACAGCUAUACAGUACGGGUGUAUAUCCAGGUGUCAGAUUAACCAAUCAACAAUUUAGGCUUCAAUCUGCUUUUGGCGCACCAAGCCCUAGUUCUUCUGCAUUUGGUAAACUAAUGCACCCACAAGGAUCACCUGCUGAUCACACAUGAACACAGCCCUGAAUUGGAUCGGCAGCAAGCAGUCAAUUCAGGGUAUUACAUGGAAUCGCCAUUGCGCUUGGUUUGAGGGAAACAGAGAACAGAAUGCGAGUUCAGAUGUGUGGACUUAAUUAGAUUCUCUUGGCUAAACUUGUUAGUGGGGAUUGGGAUUUUCCAUGGGAUGGGUAAUGAAAUUUGAGAGUUCAACUAACUGACUCAAACCUGACUUGCAACGCAACCUGAUCAACAGAUCCAACCAAUACAAGGCCGACAUGUUCCUUUCUUUAAUUCUUUGUGCUUGCAGGCACAUUAACGGACUCAACUAUAUACAUACCAUAAAAGCAACAUCUUUACAAUACAAUGCCAAUUAUGUGAGUGGAAACUUUGUAGUGGCAUUUAUCUAAAUUGCAAUCUUUGCCGUGGCAUGUAUCUCGGUAUUUAAUAAACAAGGGGCCCGUGUUCCUUUGAUUCGGACCAUCCUGAAUGUUGUUGCCAUUUUAUUUACGUCAUCACAAACCUUAGAAUUCUCUUGUUAAUAAAACGGAUCGAUCUUAAUGGAUGGAUUUUCACUUGUAAUUAACUAAUAUAGGUAUAGGUAGAAAAGAACGCGGUAGGCCUUAUAAGACUAGGAAACUCUCUGCCUGGAAACAGCUGAUCAGGCGGGCCUUUAGCUAGGAAACAAACGAAUCGGACUUGGAAUCCCUCCCGUAAACUUUUCUAAUACGUAUCUGUCUGUAGUUAAAUAGCAAUCUAUUUCUAUACCGAUCCUUCCCGGGAAAUUUUACGCACCUAAUACCUUGUUGCAGUUUAAAAUAGCAAUCGGCCCUCGAGCCUCGUCUGUCGCGAACUUGUGAUCUCUGCCAUGUCGCUCGGCGGCGUCCUUCGGUUCCCGCGGCGAGGCCAAUCCUCCUGUUUCC
Molecule: long non-coding RNA, 2081 nt
Filed under: Setaria italica (foxtail millet)
Lineage: Eukaryota; Viridiplantae; Streptophyta; Magnoliopsida; Poales; Poaceae
Description: long non-coding RNA (SITA_LNC002800)
Source: RNAcentral